GGGAUACCACUUGGAAACAGGUGCUAAUACCGGAUAACAACAAUAGCUGCAUGGCUAUUGCUUAAAAGGCGGCGAAAGCUGUCGCUAAAGGAUGGACCCGCGGUGCAUUAGCUAGUUGGUAAGGUAAUGGCUUACCAAGGCGACGAUGCAUAGCCGAGUUGAGAGACUGAUCGGCCACAUUGGGACUGAGACACGGCCCAAACUCCUACGGGAGGCAGCAGUAGGGAAUCUUCCACAAUGGGCGAAAGCCUGAUGGAGCAACGCCGCGUGAGUGAAGAAGGUUUUCGGAUCGUAAAGCUCUGUUGUUGGUGAAGAAGGAUAGAGGUAGUAACUGGCCCCUAUCUGACGGUAAUCAACCAGAAAGUCACGGCUAACUACGUGCCAGCAGCCGCGGUAAUACGUAGGUGGCAAGCGUUGUCCGGAUUUAUUGGGCGUAAAGCGAGCGCAGGCGGAAAGAUAAGUCUGAUGUGAAAGCCCCCGGCUUAACCGAGGAAUUGCAUCGGAAACUGUGUUUCUUGAGUGCAGAAGAGGAGAGUGGAACUCCAUGUGUAGCGGUGGAAUGCGUAGAUAUAUGGAAGAACACCAGUGGCGAAGGCGGCUCUCUGGUCUGUAACUGACGCUGAGGCUCGAAAGCAUGGGUAGCGAACAGGAUUAGAUACCCUGGUAGUCCAUGCCGUAAACGAUCAGU
RNAcentral lists this ribosomal RNA (688 nucleotides) under uncultured bacterium. RNAcentral's name for it is "bacterial SSU rRNA". It matches the Rfam family "Bacterial small subunit ribosomal RNA", at positions 140 to 814 of the family's 1533-position model. The record is from RNAcentral.